AAGACUAUACUGUCAGGAAUCAUUUCUAUCAUUUGUUACUAGAAACGUUUCUCUGUACAUGAAGAGGAAUGACUCAUUUCUAUCCCUUAGAUCCUGG
RNAcentral lists this small nucleolar RNA (97 nucleotides) under Tursiops truncatus (common bottlenose dolphin). RNAcentral's name for it is "Small nucleolar RNA U3 (ENSTTRG00000024984.1)". The record is from RNAcentral. Lineage: Eukaryota; Metazoa; Chordata; Mammalia; Artiodactyla; Delphinidae.